Molecule: long non-coding RNA, 249 nt
Organism: Vitis vinifera (wine grape)
Lineage: Eukaryota; Viridiplantae; Streptophyta; Magnoliopsida; Vitales; Vitaceae
Exons: 3
Source: RefSeq, a predicted model, not a curated record
AUAGAGUUCCUGUUCGCAGAAUUUCAGAGAACGUAAGGUUGGAGUCAGAUUUCAGGGUUGAAGAACAGAUCUCUAUAGGUGAAGAGUAGAUUAUAUUUUUUCAGAAUUAUUCUUCUCCCAAGCUUUCAAGGACUUCUUUUGAGGUACUCUUAGUUCGGGUGAGGAGUGAUGGCUAGGCUGAGGAAUGGUCAUCAUUAGGAUUUGACUUAGGAUUUUAUGUUGGAUUUUGUUUAACUAUUAGUUAUGUUC